CCCCUCUCAGGGUCACACCUGGAGAGUUUCCAGUACUCUACCAGUCUCGGUUACUGGAGGGCGAGUCAAGCAGAGGCCUACCCAUUCGAUUCCUAACUUGGGCAGUGGCUAGUGAGUGAAAGGCAAUCUGCUACAAGU
RNAcentral lists this small nucleolar RNA (138 nucleotides) under Ornithorhynchus anatinus (platypus). The record is from RNAcentral. Lineage: Eukaryota; Metazoa; Chordata; Mammalia; Monotremata; Ornithorhynchidae.